AUGUUGUUAGUAUAAUUUAUUAUGCUACUUUUCCAAAGUAGCGAUCUAUGUUUAGACAACAUA
Molecule: transfer RNA, 63 nt
Filed under: Hymenolepis diminuta
Lineage: Eukaryota; Metazoa; Platyhelminthes; Cestoda; Cyclophyllidea; Hymenolepididae
Description: tRNA-Gly
Source: RNAcentral